AUGAACGCUAGCGACAGGCCUAACACAUGCAAGUCAGGGGCAGCACAAGGAGCAAUCUGAGGUGGCGACCGGCGCACGGGUGAGUAACACGUAUGCAACCUGCCUGUAAGCGGGGAAUAACCCGUUGAAAGACGGACUAAUACCGCAUAAUACUAAAUUACUGCACGGUAAUUUAUUUAAACAUUUAUGGCUUACAGAUGGGCAUGCGCAUGAUUAGCUAGUUGGAGAGGUAACGGCUCCCCAAGGCAACGAUCAUUAGGGGUUCUGAGAGGAAGGUCCCCCACACUGGUACUGAGACACGGACCAGACUCCUACGGGAGGCAGCAGUGAGGAAUAUUGGUCAAUGGACGAGAGUCUGAACCAGCCAAGUCGCGUGCAGGAAGAAUGUCCCUAUGGAUUGUAAACUGCUUUUGCAGGGGAAUAAAGUGCAUCACGUGUGAUGUUUUGUAUGUACUCUGCGAAUAAGGAUCGGCUAACUCCGUGCCAGCCGCCGC
RNAcentral lists this ribosomal RNA (494 nucleotides) under uncultured bacterium. RNAcentral describes it as "bacterial SSU rRNA". It matches the Rfam family "Bacterial small subunit ribosomal RNA", at positions 29 to 518 of the family's 1533-position model. The record is from RNAcentral.